AGCCUUAUAUUUAAUAAAUAAUAUUAAAUUGCAAGUUUAAAGUAGAUAAAAUCUAAGGCUU
RNAcentral lists this transfer RNA (61 nucleotides) under Muda kuroiwae. RNAcentral's name for it is "tRNA-Cys". Lineage: Eukaryota; Metazoa; Arthropoda; Insecta; Hemiptera; Cicadidae. The record is from RNAcentral.